CGAUCCUGUAAUUCUCGGGGCCUGAGACGAAGUCUGGAAAUUAGGCCCCGACGAAAUCUACGUAAAUGCAAACUUCAAAAAUGAAUUAUGCGACCCAUUACUAAUUUAAAAAACUAACAUUAAAACAGCAACCAAAUAUAUUAUAGAAAAUAUUUAUAUUAUAAACUAUCAAAACCAACAAUGUUUGAAACAAUUAGUUAAAUUCUAUUCGUCUUGUUGUUUUAGAGUCAAAAACAUCAAUCAAAUCUGAAUAAUUUAGCUACUCAAUCAUUUCUUUCUCUAUUGAUAACAUAGUCAACCCGUUUAAUUUUUCUUUCGACAUGGUUGAUCGGAGAUAGGUCUUGAUCAACUUCAAUUUCGAGAAACUUCUUUCCGCAAAUGCAACUGUAACCGGUAUGGUUAACAAAAUUUUGUAAGCAAUAUAAGCAUUUGGAAAACAAACAUUCAAUAUCUUCAAAUAAUGUGGCACUUCAAUUGCUCUUGUUGCUUCACCUGGUAUAUAACACAUCAAGAUUUGUAACUCCGAACAUGAAUCAUCCCCACUGUUGUCCAAACGCCGAUCAUGUUGAAGAUAUUUCUCAAGAUUCAUACAAGAGUUCAAUAAACUUGAAAAAGUUGCACCCCUUAACCUCUUCAAAUUAAACAAAAAUCCAAAUGUGUUAUCAUAUUGUUUGAAUUGUUCAAAUUGGGUUCUCAGAGAAGAUAGAGCUUGAUCAAUUAUAAAAACAAAGCACUCAACUCUAAAAAAUUCUUCUGUUGAUUGCUUUACCUCAUUACUACCGCUUUCAUCAAAUUAUUUUUUUCUUCGAAUUAUGCGUUUUUCUAUAAAUACAGCUUCAAUUCCCAUUUCGCUUGCGUUUUUUGUCGCUUCAUCCUUGGCAAUAGCAAAUCCAAUUUCUCUAUAUUCCUCAAGAAAUGAAACAAGUCCUUGCAAGAGGUCGAUAACAUGAUUAAUAUCCAUGGAUUCGGUUUGAAGAAAUUUACUCACAAUAUUGACAGCAUGCAACAACCUGUACCAGAUUAUCAUGCCAAGCAAAAACUCAAAAUUUUUGAAGUUCAUGUGUUGCUAAUGACUCGGCUUCACUCUUCAGUUUAGGAUAUUCAUUACUUUCUGCCAAAUCAAAUAAUGCAUCUCUUAUCUGUGCAAUUUGCUCCAUUAUCAUGACUUUUCCAACAUGUUUGUGACAAUGGCUUCAUUGUCAACCCUUGUACACUGUCUUUGAAAAUUUUCCAUCACUUGGUAGAAGAAGAAAACAAUGUGUAGAUGCGUUGUAUCACUCCGAAGAAGGAUACAACUUUGGACAACAAUUCACCAUAUCACAUAAUGCUAUAUUUAGACUAUGAGUGCCACAUGGAGUAAGCCUUUUGAAACUCGGUUGCAAGUCCAAGUCCUAUUGUAUCAUCUGCUUUAAAAAAUUUUAGCCAAUGUUCUUCAACUGUAGGUAAGUUUUUCGAAUCAUCUACAAAUCAUACAAUUAAAGACAUUUGUUCCUCGUGACUUGCAUCUGGAGUACAAUCAAGUAUAACUGCAAAAUAUUUUGCAUGUUUAACUUUCUUGACAAUUGAACUUCUCACCUCAUUAGCCAACAACUGUAUCAAAUCAUUUUGAAUUUUUUUUGCCAAGAUACGUAUAUUGAAUCUCUCUUGCUUUAGCUCGUCGAAGGUGCUCUUGCAUUACUGGAUCAAAUUCACUAACCAUGGUCAUUGUACUCAACAUGUAGCCUCUCAUCAUCUUCUCGAAAUAGCAAUGUGCUUUUUGCAAGUCUUUUUACAAUAGUGAUUAUCCUUGUUAAUACAUGUAUCCAAUGUUCUCUUUCAGCAUCAAUCAACAAUUCAAAGCUUUUAUUAAUUGUAGUUUUUGUUUGAAGCCUAUUUUCCAAUUCAAUCCAACUAGUCAUGCAACUUAAAUGCUCUUCAUUUCCUUCAUGACUUUUAAUAGAUCGAUACAAAUUAUGUCUAUUUUUGAAUCCAUCAUUACCUAGUUGGCCAACUUCGGUCACAUUUAUUUGUGUUUUAAACAACUUGCAAGUAAAGCAGAAGAUACUGUCCAUAGACACUGAAUAUACUAGCCAUCUUCUAUCAACUGUUUGCCCAUUUAGUAAUAAUCGCUUAUAUUAUAAAGAAUCGAAAUGUCUAUUUGUAUAGUCUUUCGGAAACGAGAUGUCAUCAACUCUUUUUGGACCCCUUUCAACUAAGUAAUCCCUGGUUCUUUGACCAAUGAUUUUCCAAUUCCCAGGAUCAUCCAAAUUUAUAGAAAAGCAACAAUCUUCUUCCUUAUCAUCUUCUUCAUUAUUAGAGGCGGGCUUCAUCACUUCUUCUUUCUUAUCAUCUACUUCGUUAACAUCUGCCUGUUGACUCACUUCUUCAUCCUUAUCAUCUAACUUCAUUAACAUGGUCUUGUUGAAUCUCUACUUCAUCCUCAUUCAACACAUUCACAUUGUUGCUUUUGAAGUACUUGUUAAUAUCCCCUGCUUGCUUUGAAUUAAUGCAAUUUCAUCUCGUUUCCUUUUCCUCUUUUGAGCACCAGACUCAUAUUUAGGAGGCAUACUAUAGGGGUGAAUAUCUAAUGUCCAAUGAUUAACCUAAAAAACAAUUACACAAUAUCUCAAUCAUCUCACAAUUAUAGUUUCGAAUAUAGUUACUACGUGCGCCUGUUCAAUUGUUCAUCGUACAAUAAGCAAUCAUAUGAGCCGACUAGGCUGCAAUUAUAUAAGCUGAUAAGGCUUCAAAUAAUUCCAAUCUCUUCAAUAACAAGUUAGUGCAAACCAUUACUUACUAGAGAAAUGGAAUUUAGAUGAAGAUUGUGGAAUUACACCAUUGAGAAUGAUACCAUUUUCUGAACUAGGAGUAAGCCGAUUGCAAUUUUAAAAAAUUUAAUAAUAGCUUCAGGUGCAUUCAUAAUGGCCCCUACAAAUUGAGACAAAGACAUC
RNAcentral lists this long non-coding RNA (2930 nucleotides) under Olea europaea subsp. europaea. The record is from RNAcentral. Lineage: Eukaryota; Viridiplantae; Streptophyta; Magnoliopsida; Lamiales; Oleaceae.